GAUUAACGCUAGCGGCAGGCAUAAUACAUGCAAGUUGAACGGGAUUCAGGCAGCAAUGUUUGAUGAGAGUAGCGCACGGGUGCGUAACACGUAUGCAACCUGCCCCUGACUGGAGGAUGGCCUCUCGAAAGAGAGAUUAAUAUUCCAUAACAUAUAGAAUAAGCAUUUAUUUUAUAUCAAAGCUCCGGCGGUCAGGGAUGGGGCANGCGGCUGAUUAGGUAGUUGGUGAGGUAACGGCUCACCAAGCCGACGAUCAGUAGGGGGUC
RNAcentral lists this ribosomal RNA (266 nucleotides) under uncultured bacterium. RNAcentral describes it as "partial 16S ribosomal RNA". It matches the Rfam family "Bacterial small subunit ribosomal RNA", at positions 28 to 292 of the family's 1533-position model. The record is from RNAcentral.